GACGAACGCUGGCGGCAUGCCUAAUACAUGCAAGUCGAGCGAACAGAUGAAGUGCUUGCACUUCUGACGUUAGCGGCGAACGGGUGAGUAACACGUAAGGAAUCUACCUAUAAGCGGAGGAUAACAUUCGGAAACGGGUGCUAAUACCGCAUAAUAUCUUCUUCCGCAUGGAAGAAGAUUGAAAGACGGCUCUGCUGUCACUUAUAGAUUACCUUGCGGUGCAUUAGUUAGUUGGUGGGGUAGCGGCUACCAAGACGAUGAUGCAUAGCCGACCUGAGAGGGUGAUCGGCCACAUUGGGACUGAGACACGGCCCAAACUCCUACGGGAGGCAGCAGUAGGGAAUCUUCCGCAAUGGGCGAAAGCCUGACGGAGCAAUGCCGCGUGAGUGAAGAAGGCCUUCGGGUCGUAAAACUCUGUUAUAAGAGAAGAACAAAUUGUAGAGUAACUGCUACAGUCUUGACGGUAUCUUAUCAGAAAGCCACGGCUAACUACGUGCCAGCAGCCGCUGUAA
This 512-nucleotide ribosomal RNA is filed under the name uncultured bacterium. Its description in RNAcentral is "partial 16S ribosomal RNA". It matches the Rfam family "Bacterial small subunit ribosomal RNA", at positions 28 to 523 of the family's 1533-position model. The record is from RNAcentral.